AUGUAUACAUCCAAACAACCUUUUCUUAAAUCUAAGCAACCCUUUAGUAAAUCCAAGCAAACUUUUAAUAAAUCCAAGCAAACUUUUCAUAAAUUCAAGCAACCUUUUCGUAAAUCUAAACAACCUUUUCGUAGGAGUCCUCAGAUUGGCCUGGGAGAUCGAAUUGAUUAUAGAAACAUGAGUUUAAUUAAUAGAUUUACUAGUGAACAAGGAAAAAUAUUAUCGAGACAAAAAAAUAGAUUAACCUUUAAACAACAACGAUUAAUUACUCUUGCUAUAAAACAAGUACAUUCAAAACAUACUGAUUUAGAAGGGUCCGAUUUUUUCCCACAUUGA
RNAcentral lists this ribosomal RNA (336 nucleotides) under Triticum aestivum (bread wheat). Its description in RNAcentral is "partial small subunit ribosomal RNA". The record is from RNAcentral. Lineage: Eukaryota; Viridiplantae; Streptophyta; Magnoliopsida; Poales; Poaceae.